This 2125-nucleotide ribosomal RNA is filed under the name Clostridioides difficile. Its description in RNAcentral is "bacterial LSU rRNA". It matches the Rfam family "Bacterial large subunit ribosomal RNA", at positions 3 to 2150 of the family's 2925-position model. Lineage: Bacteria; Bacillati; Bacillota; Clostridia; Peptostreptococcales; Peptostreptococcaceae. The record is from RNAcentral.
UCAAGUUAUUAAGGGUGCAGGGCGGAUGCCUUGGCACUAGGAGCCGAUGAAGGACGUGAUAAGCUGCGAUAAGCUUCGGGGAGUUGCACGUAAACUUUGAUCCGAAGAUUUCCGAAUGAGGAAACUCACUUAGAGUAAUGUCUAAGUAUCAUUAAGUGAAUACAUAGCUUAAUGAGGGGAACUCAGGGAACUGAAACAUCUAAGUACCUGAAGGAAGAGAAAGAAAUUCGAUUCCGUAAGUAGCGGCGAGCGAACGCGGAUUAGCCCAAACCAAUAAAGUUUUCUUUAUUGGGGUUGCGGACAUAUCAUAACGAAGAGGUAUCGUAAUUGAAGAGGUUUGGAAAGACCCACCACAGAAGGUAAUAGUCCUGUAUGUUAAACGAGAAGACUUUAGAUAUGAUCCAGAGUACCACGGGACACGUGAAACCCUGUGGGAAGCAGGAGGGACCACCCUCCAAGGCUAAAUACUACCUAGUGACCGAUAGCGUAUAGUACCGUGAGGGAAAGGUGAAAAGAACCCCGGGAGGGGAGUGAAAUAGAACCUGAAACCCUGCACUUACAAGCUGUGGAAGCACAUUUCUUGUGUGACCGCGUACUUUUUGUAGAACGGGCCAACGAGUUACGUUAAGUAGCAAGGUUAAGCACUUAAGGUGUGGAGCCGUAGCGAAAGCGAGUUUUAACUGAGCGUUCAGUUACUUGACGUAGACCCGAAACCGGGCGACCUACCCAUGAGCAGGAUGAAGCGAAAGUAAAAUUUCGUGGAGGUCCGAACCCACGAGCGUUGAAAAGCUCGGGGAUGACUUGUGGGUAGCGGUGAAAUUCCAAUCGAGCCCGGAGAUAGCUGGUUCUCCCCGAAAUAGCUUUAGGGCUAGCCUCAAGGUGAGAGAUACGGAGGUAGAGCACUGAAUGUCCUAGGGGGUAUUGCACCUACCGAAGACUAUCAAACUCCGAAUGCCGUCAUCUUAUACUUGGGAGUCAGACUGUGGGUGAUAAGAUUCAUAGUCGAAAGGGCAACAGCCCAGAUCGUCAGCUAAGGUCCCUAAAUGUAAGUUAAGUGGUAAAGGAUGUGGGAUUGCACAGACAACCAGGAUGUUGGCUUAGAAGCAGCCACUCAUUCAAAGAGUGCGUAAUAGCUCACUGGUCGAGUGAUCCUGCGCCGAAGAUUUCCGGGGCUAAAACUUACUACCGAAGCUACGGCAUCAGUAAUGAUGGGUAGGGGAGCUUCCCAUACGGGUUGAAGCAUGACCGUAAGGACAUGUGGACAGUAUGGGAGUGAGAAUGUUGGCAUGAGUAGCGAGAUGUGGGUGAGAAUCCCACAGGCCGUAAACCCAAGGUUUCCAGGGGAAGGUUCGUCCGCCCUGGGUUAGUCGGGACCUAAGCUGAGGCCGAAAGGCGUAGGUGAUGGACAACAGGUUGAUAUUCCUGUACUACCGAUAACCGUUUGAGAGAAGGGAUGACACAGUAGGAUAAGCUAAGCACACUGUUGGUUAUGUGUGCCCAAGCAUUGAGGCAGUCAAAGUAGGCAAAUCCGCUUUGAUAAUGCUGGGAUGUGAUGGGGAGCGAAAUUUAGUAGCGAAGUAGCUGAUUUCACACUGUCAAGAAAAGUCUCUAUCGAGGUUAAAGGUACCCGUACCGCAAACCGACACAGGUGGGUGAGGAGAGUAUCCUAAGGCCAGCGAGAGAACUGUUGUUAAGGAACUCGGCAAAAUGACCCCGUAACUUAGGGAUAAGGGGUGCCACCAUCAGGUGGCCGCAGAGAAUAGGCCCAAGCGACUGUUUACCAAAAACAUAGGUUUCUGCUAAGUCGCAAGACGAUGUUAUAGGAGCUGACGCCUGCCCGGUGCUGGAAGGUUAAGGGAUCUGUUAGAGCAAUCGAAGCAGUGAACUUAACCCCAGUAAACGGCGGCCGUAACUAUAACGGUCCUAAGUAGCGAAAUUCCUUGUCGGGUAAGUUCCGACCCGCACGAAAGGCGACGUAACGAUUUGGGCACUGUCCUCAACAACAGACUCGGUGAAAUUGUAAUUCCGGUGAAGAUGCCGGAUACCUGCGACAGGACGGAAAGACCCCAUGGAGCUUUACUGUAGCUUGACAUGGGUCUUGGUACUACAUGUACAGGAUAGGUGG